This 447-nucleotide ribosomal RNA is filed under the name uncultured bacterium. Its description in RNAcentral is "partial 16S ribosomal RNA". It matches the Rfam family "Bacterial small subunit ribosomal RNA", at positions 329 to 792 of the family's 1533-position model. The record is from RNAcentral.
UCCCAGACUCCUACGGGAGGCAGCAGUGGGGAAUAUUGCACAAUGGGGGGAACCCUGAUGCAGCAACGCCGCGUGAGUGAGGAAGUAUUUCGGUAUGUAAAGCUCUAUCAGCAGGGAAUAGAAAAGAAGGUACCUGAAAAAGAAGCCCCGGCUAACUACGUGCCAGCAGCCGCGGUAAUACGUAGGGGGCAAGCGUUAUCCGGAUUUACUGGGUGUAAAGGGAGCGUAGACGGAAAGGCAAGUCAGAAGUGAAAGCCCAAGGCUCAACCAUGGGACUGCUUUUGAAACUGUCAAACUAGAGUACGGGAGAGGUAAGAGGAAUUCCUAGUGUAGCGGUGAAAUGCGUAGAUAUUAGGAGGAACACCAGUGGCGAAGGCGGCUUACUGGACUGUAACUGACGUUGAGGCUCGAAAGCGUGGGGAGCAAACAGGAUUAGAUACCCCAGUA